CGGGUGCUGGGCUCCUUCUACCGCCUGUUGUCUUUGCUUCUGCAGGUGCUGCGCGGGGGACAGCUUCCUUCACCCCAGCAAGGUAACUCAGAACUAGUUCAGCCUGAAGAAGAGUCAUUUUCUGAUCAUAUGCUUCAACUUGAAUGAUUAGACACAUGAUGUGCUGCUUGAGAAGGACCCUUUCUGAAGCCAGUUCAAAACAAGUUGCUCCAGUUGAAAAUGAAAGAUUUUCCUGAGGAUUCUCCAUUAUCCUUUUGUUGCGAUGAUGUUCCUUGUUGUACUG
This is a long non-coding RNA of Sus scrofa (pig), 283 nucleotides long. RefSeq lists it as uncharacterized. Lineage: Eukaryota; Metazoa; Chordata; Mammalia; Artiodactyla; Suidae. The record is from RefSeq and is a predicted model, not a curated record.